Molecule: long non-coding RNA, 1017 nt
Filed under: Setaria italica (foxtail millet)
Lineage: Eukaryota; Viridiplantae; Streptophyta; Magnoliopsida; Poales; Poaceae
Description: long non-coding RNA (SITA_LNC000313)
Source: RNAcentral
AUUGCUUCUUCUUGCAUCGCACGAUGAGGGUAUCAAAGCUUGAAAUGAUUUAUACUAUUGAUUUUCUCACGUUACAUGUCGCAUGUCGUGAAGUGGAUGCUAAUCUUCUCAAACUGGUUGUCUUAUCUAGGUACCUCAUUCUCGAUCUAAUUUUUUGACUCCCAACCCAAUUUUAUUUGCACAAUCCCAGCCAGAGCUCAAGCUUUGCCUGCCGCAGCCACCAGUUCUAUCCGAAGCUCCGCUCCCUGCACAGCUCGUCCGUGUGGAGUUUGAGAUCCAAACUCGACGACAUCGGACGCCGCUCCAACGGUCCAACCCUAACGCUGCCAUCCAUGCAGGAUCCGACCUGCUCGCUGCCUGCACCGAUUCAUGGUCCCCUUCACCAGAAUCAAACCUCGCCGCUCAAUUUGCUCACCUAGCACCCCGAUUUGGGUUGCCGCUGCAAUAUGCUCCUCCGGCAUCUGAUGGAAAACACUCUGAACUUGCAUUCAUCUGAAAGGGGACCUCUCUCAAUGAUAGCAAGAAUUCUUUCAAUUCACAUAAUUAUAUUGAUCAAAGUCUCAAAUUGACAAAAUUUCCACUUUACAAUCUUAAUUCCCAUCAAAUUACAUUUUCAAAUGGAGAUUCAGCAUGAUAUGAUUUUCCACAACCUCAGUUUCUCAGGGGGUGGCCAGCCUUCCUCCUGCGCCAGUACUAGCACCACCGUGUCAACCUUCUUGUGGUGAUGCACACCUGGAGCACGAAGCUUGUUGCCAACUGCAUCCAUGGCUGGGCUCCUCGGCGGCAGCGACCCGUCGGAUGCCACAGCCAAGUCAAAGGGGCCAAGCCAAGCAUGACAUCUGGCGGCGGCAGUGGACGCCCAACAGCCCAACACGACGGUGGUGGGGUAGCGACAAGCGAGCCACGACACUCAAUGGUGGUGGAUGGCGAGGAAGAAGCUGCAAGAAUCGGCGGCACAUAGCAGCGACUCGGAGGGGAUUUUGUAGAGUAGAUUUGGACAUGCAGUCUUGUUGCCAC